This 1292-nucleotide ribosomal RNA is filed under the name Escherichia coli. RNAcentral's name for it is "partial 23S ribosomal RNA". It matches the Rfam family "Bacterial large subunit ribosomal RNA", at positions 165 to 1500 of the family's 2925-position model. The record is from RNAcentral. Lineage: Bacteria; Pseudomonadati; Pseudomonadota; Gammaproteobacteria; Enterobacterales; Enterobacteriaceae.
CAUAGGUUAAUGAGGCGAACCGGGGGAACUGAAACAUCUAAGUACCCCGAGGAAAAGAAAUCAACCGAGAUUCCCCCAGUAGCGGCGAGCGAACGGGGAGCAGCCCAGAGCCUGAAUCAGUGUGUGUGUUAGUGGAAGCGUCUGGAAAGGCGCGCGAUACAGGGUGACAGCCCCGUACACAAAAAUGCACAUACUGUGAGCUCGAUGAGUAGGGCGGGACACGUGGUAUCCUGUCUGAAUAUGGGGGGACCAUCCUCCAAGGCUAAAUACUCCUGACUGACCGAUAGUGAACCAGUACCGUGAGGGAAAGGCGAAAAGAACCCCGGCGAGGGGAGUGAAAAAGAACCUGAAACCGUGUACGUACAAGCAGUGGGAGCACGCUUAGGCGUGUGACUGCGUACCUUUUGUAUAAUGGGUCAGCGACUUAUAUUCUGUAGCAAGGUUAACCGAAUAGGGGAGCCGAAGGGAAACCGAGUCUUAACUGGGCGUUAAGUUGCAGGGUAUAGACCCGAAACCCGGUGAUCUAGCCAUGGGCAGGUUGAAGGUUGGGUAACACUAACUGGAGGACCGAACCGACUAAUGUUGAAAAAUUAGCGGAUGACUUGUGGCUGGGGGUGAAAGGCCAAUCAAACCGGGAGAUAGCUGGUUCUCCCCGAAAGCUAUUUAGGUAGCGCCUCGUGAAUUCAUCUCCGGGGGUAGAGCACUGUUUCGGCAAGGGGGUCAUCCCGACUUACCAACCCGAUGCAAACUGCGAAUACCGGAGAAUGUUAUCACGGGAGACACACGGCGGGUGCUAACGUCCGUCGUGAAGAGGGAAACAACCCAGACCGCCAGCUAAGGUCCCAAAGUCAUGGUUAAGUGGGAAACGAUGUGGGAAGGCCCAGACAGCCAGGAUGUUGGCUUAGAAGCAGCCAUCAUUUAAAGAAAGCGUAAUAGCUCACUGGUCGAGUCGGCCUGCGCGGAAGAUGUAACGGGGCUAAACCAUGCACCGAAGCUGCGGCAGCGACGCUGAUGCGUUGUUGGGUAGGGGAGCGUUCUGUAAGCCUGUGAAGGUGUGCUGUGAGGCAUGCUGGAGGUAUCAGAAGUGCGAAUGCUGACAUAAGUAACGAUAAAGCGGGUGAAAAGCCCGCUCGCCGGAAGACCAAGGGUUCCUGUCCAACGUUAAUCGGGGCAGGGUGAGUCGACCCCUAAGGCGAGGCCGAAAGGCGUAGUCGAUGGGAAACAGGUUAAUAUUCCUGUACUUGGUGUUACUGCGAAGGGGGGACGGAGAAGGCUAUGUUGGCCGGGCGACG